GCCUGCCCAGUGACUCUGUUCAACGGCCGCGGUAUCCUAACCGUGCAAAGGUAGCGUAAUCACUUGUUCAUUAAAUGUGGACUAGUAUGAAUGGCACCACGAAGGUUAUACUGUCUCCUUUCUCUAAUCAGUGAAACUAAUCUCCUCGUGAAGAAGCGAGGAUUAAACGAUAAGACGAGAAGACCCUAUGGAGCUUGAAACAAUACAGCACUUACUAAACACGCACAACUUUCUGAAUAUUAACACCAUUAAUGACAUGUCUGUAAGUUUUUGGUUGGGGUGACCACGGAGAAUAACUUAACCUCCAUGCUGAAAUUUAACCCAGGACUACCUCCCUAAGUAUUAGCACUUUAACAUUAAUUGACCCAAUACACUUGAACAACGAACUAAGUUACCCUAGGGAUAACAGCGCA
This 413-nucleotide ribosomal RNA is filed under the name Nimbaphrynoides occidentalis (western Nimba toad). RNAcentral describes it as "partial 16S ribosomal RNA". It matches the Rfam family "Bacterial large subunit ribosomal RNA", at positions 1857 to 2484 of the family's 2925-position model. The record is from RNAcentral. Lineage: Eukaryota; Metazoa; Chordata; Amphibia; Anura; Bufonidae.